Molecule: long non-coding RNA, 1000 nt
Filed under: Nicotiana benthamiana
Lineage: Eukaryota; Viridiplantae; Streptophyta; Magnoliopsida; Solanales; Solanaceae
Description: long non-coding RNA (NBEN_LNC028337)
Source: RNAcentral
AUGCAUGCUAUCCCGCUUAAAUCAAAUGUCAUAUGGAUAGAACAUAAGAGUAUGAGCAAGUGGUAUACUACAACUAAUACUCAAAAUUUGCAUACUUCGCCGGAUAGAAACCUCUAUCAUGUACCAAUCUCCAGUUCCAUGAAUCAUAGAUUUACAGUCAUCUAAUAAGCAGCGUGACAACAAUUAUAUUGGCUACCACUUCCAUUCCUGCUUAUGAAAGGUCAAAAAUCUUAUUUUCAUUUCCUUGCAUGCUACAACAGACUAAGAUCUCAAAACAUCAGAGACAAGAAUGGAUAUGUUCAUGCUACGAUACAACACUCAGCAAUAUUCCAGCAAUUUUCAAUCCUUCAAACAAAGUACAGAAAUGGCAAAUUCUAUCGACUACAGAUGCAUCUGCCCAAAUGAUCAUUGCUAAGCUCGAGGAAACCUCUUCAUAAAUUUAAACAGCAGCAGGAGUUUUGCUGUCAAUAGACUUGAGCACUUCUUCACCCAUUUUCUUGCACCCCACCAAUUUCUGAAGGCAAGUGUUUCAGCUCAUUCAGCAAGUUUGAUAUGAAAACGAUUAGUUACUGAAACUAAAUUUUGGCAUUCAGGUUAUUUGGUCCAACCUAUGAUAAAGGUGAGAAAUAUUAACUUUGUUUUUUUUUUUUCCGCUUUUGCUGGAUGUUUGCUGCAUGUCCUUUCAAGUGCAAGAUCAGACAGAUGAAAAUUCACAACCAAGAAGCAUUGAGGUCACCUACAGACGUAACAUCACAAAUUUUAUGUCCAAACGCCUACUUGGAUGCAUAUAAUCCCACACUUUUUAAUGAACAUAUGGAUGAGCAUAGAGUAGGAGCAAGGGGUAUGCUACAACUAAUACUAAAAAUUUACAUACUUUACCGAUAGUAACCUGUAUCAUGUAAGUUUACAGGUAUUUAAUGUAGCAGCGACAACAACUAUAUUGGUUACCAGUCCUCCGUUCCUGCCUUUUAAAGGUCAAAAAUCUUAUUUUCAUUUCCUU